Molecule: long non-coding RNA, 889 nt
Filed under: Sorghum bicolor (sorghum)
Lineage: Eukaryota; Viridiplantae; Streptophyta; Magnoliopsida; Poales; Poaceae
Description: long non-coding RNA (SBIC_LNC003622)
Source: RNAcentral
AAUAAGUUCACAUCAACAGCGGAAUGACGACUAACCGGCUAACUAGCUAGGCGGGAUUAGAACUAACAACUCGUGGCUCACGCUGCGUCCACCUCAGCGAUGAUGUUAGCGCGCGCGCACGGGCGAGUAUGCAUCCCUCCGCUCAUGUCACGGCUGUCUGAGCUUUCCGCUGUUGAAACCCCAAAGUGCUCUCUAGAAAAGGCCACGGGAUCGGUCGAAGUAUACUUGCGUACUACUCCUAUUAUUAGUAGGUAACAACGCACUGACACGCAGCAUCAUUUCGGGGCGGUGAUAGCGAGUUGCUUAACCUUGGGGCACAUGGAUCCUGGCCGCGGGCGCUCCAAAAGACGGAGGAUGCAUCCUUCUUUAUCUCGGCUUUUCGUCGCUCGUCUGCGGAGACGACGACCCCUUUCUGCAAUUCGCAGUUCGCAUCGCAUGCAUUCUGGAAUUGGCGUUUGCCUUUUGGUUUCAGCUUCCUCGCCACACGAGGAUGGAAAGAGACGGUCAGGUCUCAGGGUGCAGAAGGAGGGUCUGAAAAUUAUUAUAAUCUAGAGUUUCGCAGCAACAGCAGUCGGCCAGUCGUGUGCGGUUCCUGUUCCUUGUCCGAACAAGAUUACCGCGGAAGGCGGAUGAUGGUUCUACCUCUAGAAUGAAGAAGGAAAAAAAAGCGACGAACACUACGGCAACAGCAGAUUCACGUGGAAACCAAAAGCUGAUUCCAUUUAGGUUUUUCGCUGAAAUUGGUUUAUACUGAUAAUAGUUUGUUGUGAGAAAAAACAUUGUUUUUUCGUUGUAAGGUAUUGCUGAAGUAGUGUGGAAGAACAAUUCAGAGCACUUGCAUUUGGGCGAGUGCGGAAGACGACUAUGAUCUAGAGCAUCAAUUCACUUU